RNAcentral lists this ribosomal RNA (70 nucleotides) under Escherichia coli. RNAcentral's name for it is "partial 16S ribosomal RNA". The stretch from base 1 to 58 matches the Rfam family "Bacterial small subunit ribosomal RNA", at positions 1476 to 1533 of the family's 1533-position model. Lineage: Bacteria; Pseudomonadati; Pseudomonadota; Gammaproteobacteria; Enterobacterales; Enterobacteriaceae. RNAcentral also lists the same sequence under 1 other name. The record is from RNAcentral.
UGGGGUGAAGUCGUAACAAGGUAACCGUAGGGGAACCUGCGGUUGGAUCACCUCCUUACCUUAAAGAAGC